This 513-nucleotide ribosomal RNA is filed under the name uncultured bacterium. RNAcentral describes it as "bacterial SSU rRNA". It matches the Rfam family "Bacterial small subunit ribosomal RNA", at positions 28 to 537 of the family's 1533-position model. The record is from RNAcentral.
GACGAACGCUGGCGGCGUGCCUAACACAUGCAAGUCGAGCGGGGUUGAAGCGAGGGGUAACUCGAACUUCUACCUAGCGGCGGACGGGUGAGUAACGCGUGGGCAACCUGCCUCAAGGUCUGGGAUAACAGCUCGAAAGGGCUGCUAAUACCGGAUAUGCCUAUAGCCUCGCAUGGGGCUAUGAGCAAAGGGGAAACCCGCCUUGAGAUGGGCCCGCGUCCCAUCAGCUAGUUGGUGAGGUGAAGGCUCACCAAGGCGACGACGGGUAGCCGGCCUGAGAGGGUGACCGGCCACACUGGGACUGAGACACGGCCCAGACUCCUACGGGGGCAGCAGUGGGGAAUCUUGCACAAUGGGCGAAAGCCUGAUGCAGCGACGCCGCGUGAGCGAAGAAAGGCCUCGGUUGUAAAGACUCUGUCUGGAGGGACGGAAGAAAGUAGAACGGUAACCGUCCGGACGGAAGACCGACCGGCUAACUAACGUCGCCAGCAGCCGCGGUAAACGUAAGACGUG